RNAcentral lists this ribosomal RNA (249 nucleotides) under uncultured Bryobacterales bacterium. Its description in RNAcentral is "partial 16S ribosomal RNA". It matches the Rfam family "Bacterial small subunit ribosomal RNA", at positions 355 to 621 of the family's 1533-position model. The record is from RNAcentral. Lineage: Bacteria; Pseudomonadati; Acidobacteriota; Terriglobia; Bryobacterales.
UGGGGAAUCUUGGACAAUGGGGGAAACCCUGAUCCAGCGACGCCGCGUGAGCGAUGAAGCCCUUCGGGGUGUAAAGCUCUUUCGGCAGGAACGAUCGUGACGGUACCUGCAGAAGAAGCUGCGGCCAACUACGUGCCAGCAGCCGCGGUAAUACGUAGGCAGCAAGCGUUGUUCGGAGGUACUGGGCGUAAAGCGUGUGUAGGCGGCCGGGCAAGUCCGGUGUGAAAUCUCCCGGCUCAACCGGGGGGG